AUUGAACGCUGGCGGCAUGCCUUACACAUGCAAGUCGAACGGCAGCGGGGGAGCUUGCUCCUGCCGGCGAGUGGCGAACGGGUGAGUAAUGCAUCGGAACGUGUCCUGUCGUGGGGGAUAACUGGCCGAAAGGUCAGCUAAUACCGCAUGAGACCAGAGGGUGAAAGCGGGGGAUCGCAAGACCUCGCGCGACUGGAGCGGCCGAUGUCUGAUUAGCUGGUUGGUGGGGUAAAAGCUUACCAAGGCGACGAUCAGUAGCUGGUCUGAGAGGAUGAUCAGCCACAUUGGGACUGAGACACGGCCCAGACUCCUACGGGAGGCAGCAGUGGGGAAUUUUGGACAAUGGGGGAAACCCUGAUCCAGCCAUGCCGCGUGCGGGAUGAAGGCCUGGUGUAACGCUUGUC
This 404-nucleotide ribosomal RNA is filed under the name uncultured bacterium. RNAcentral describes it as "bacterial SSU rRNA". It matches the Rfam family "Bacterial small subunit ribosomal RNA", at positions 28 to 438 of the family's 1533-position model. The record is from RNAcentral.